This 253-nucleotide ribosomal RNA is filed under the name uncultured bacterium. Its description in RNAcentral is "partial 16S ribosomal RNA". It matches the Rfam family "Bacterial small subunit ribosomal RNA", at positions 524 to 776 of the family's 1533-position model. The record is from RNAcentral.
UACAGAGGGUGCAAGCGUUAAUCGGAAUUACUGGGCGUAAAGCGCGCGUAGGUGGUUUGUUAAGUUGGAUGUGAAAUCCCCGGGCUCAACCUGGGAACUGCAUCCAAAACUGGCAAGCUAGAGUAUGGUAGAGGGUGGUGGAAUUUCCUGUGUAGCGGUGAAAUGCGUAGAUAUAGGAAGGAACACCAGUGGCGAAGGCGGCGACCUGGACAGUUACUGACACUCAACUACGAAAGCGUGGGGAGCAAACAGG